This 21-nucleotide non-coding RNA is filed under the name Caenorhabditis elegans. The record is from RNAcentral. Lineage: Eukaryota; Metazoa; Nematoda; Chromadorea; Rhabditida; Rhabditidae.
UGACUGACUGACACUACUAGA